AAGCCUACGGGGCGCAGCAGUGGGGAAUAUUGGGCAAUGGGCGCAAGCCUGACCCAGCAACGCGGCGUGAAGGAAGAAGGCUUUCGGGUUGUAAACUUCUUUUCUCAGGGACGAAGAAAGUGACGGUACCUGAGGAAUAAGCCACGGCUAACUACGUGCCAGCAGCCGCGGUAAUACGUAGGUGGCAAGCGUUAUCCGGAUUUAUUGGGUGUAAAGGGGGUGUAGGCGGGAGCGCAAGGCAGAUGUGAAAACUAAGGGCUCAACCCUUAGCCUGCAUUUGAAAC
Molecule: ribosomal RNA, 284 nt
Filed under: uncultured bacterium
Lineage: Bacteria
Description: partial 16S ribosomal RNA
Rfam family: Bacterial small subunit ribosomal RNA
Source: RNAcentral